Molecule: ribosomal RNA, 252 nt
Filed under: uncultured bacterium
Lineage: Bacteria
Description: partial 16S ribosomal RNA
Rfam family: Bacterial small subunit ribosomal RNA
Source: RNAcentral
UACGUAGGUCCCGAGCGUUGUCCGGAUUUAUUGGGCGUAAAGCGAGCGCAGGUGGUUUAUUAAGUCUGGUGUAAAAGGCAGUGGCUCAACCAUUGUAUGCAUUGGAAACUGGUAGACUUGAGUGCAGGAGAGGAGAGUGGAAUUCCAUGUGUAGCGGUGAAAUGCGUAGAUAUAUGGAGGAACACCGGUGGCGGAAGCGGCUCUCUGGCCCGUAACUGACACUGAGGCUCGAAAGCGUGGGGAGCAAACAGG